Molecule: long non-coding RNA, 1652 nt
Organism: Alnus glutinosa
Lineage: Eukaryota; Viridiplantae; Streptophyta; Magnoliopsida; Fagales; Betulaceae
Exons: 7
Source: RefSeq, a predicted model, not a curated record
CCCAAUUCCCCUUGAAAGGAGGACAUGAGCAACCUGAGAUGCACGAAAAUCCUCCAGACCCUCAUUGGCACUUUUCAACAAACACCUAGGAUGCCAAACUUCUCCCCCAAAUACCACUUGAUUCCUGCGAGCCCAUAAUUUGUGAGACACCACUCCAAACCAUUCAAGCUCCGAUUGAUCCAAGAGACCCGAGAGGUACUCAAAAAUACUAAAAAAAGAGCCAGUCAGACUUGAGCAUUUCUGGAGCCGACGACAACCCUCUGCCCAAACUACUCUAGCCGAAUCACACCACCAAACUAAGUGUCCUGGUGUCUCGGCUUCUGUCCCACACAUUGGGCAAAAAGGGUCUUGGACAAUCUUCCUCCUUAAUAAUUUAUCGCGUGUUGGCAGCAAGUCUCUACAAGCACACCAGAGAAAAGAUUGCACAUAUUUGGGAACCUGCAAAGACCAGAUAGCCGACCAAAUGGGAGAAGGAAUACCAGAAACAGAAGUGCUAGGGACUGAGCUAGACCGCCUUCUAACAUCCAAAUGAUAUGCACUCUUAACAGAGAAAUCACCAACCGAUUCUGCAGCAAGUGAAGACAAAUCGCCAUUGAGCAGAUGUUUUCCACAGUUGCUGGUGAAAAAAUCUGCUUGAAGAGGGGGAUAUUCCACCAAUUUUCCUCCCCUCUGAUAGAGUUCUCUAGACUGCCUAAGGCUCCUCCAAGCAAAAGAAGGCCUACUCCCCUCUGUGCCCGAUAGAAGGAAGAAGUUGGGCUUGGUACUAAAAAGGAUAUAUAAUGGAUCAUCAUCGCCAUUGUCAUCAACAUUCAAGCUUUUGCGAGCGUUGAGAACUGAGCAAUUGAGUCUCUCUCGUGUCAUCACCAAAAAUUAUUGAGAACUUGAGAAUUGGGGAUGCUCUGAAUUAACAAGAUCACCAAAGCCAAUUUUUGUUCCGAAGUCAUCUGACAGUUGUUCGAAGUGUAGCUCAGCUCAAAGUAAUUGUAAGAGAAGACCAACAAGAAAUUUUCUCCUCACGUUCUUUUGAAAGAGAUCUACGCUUGCAUAAGUUGGUCUUUGAGGAAGAUGUCCUGCCAGAUGGGACCAAAGUAGCAUAUUACUCUCGUGGACAGAAAUUGUUGUGGGCAGAAAUUGUUGGUCGGUUCCAAAAAGGGAUGUAAAAUCUUUGCUGCAACUCAAAAAGGUCAGCCCCCUCACAUUUUGAAGCUCCUGUUGCAAGCCGUGAGUGUUUCAAAUCAUUCGGGUGGUUUUGUGAUUGAUGUCCAAAAUCAAUUGUUUACUCGUUUGUCAAAUAGCAUGAUUCAGUUGGCAAGACCUCUGUCAAGAUGGCAAGAUGGAGGGGAUCAUUUUGCUGUGUUGGAUGUCCAUGGGCUUUUCACAUAGAAGAAAUAUAUUUUGGACUUUCCAAAUGAGGGGCUUCAACACCUCAUUGCUCUUGAAGAAUUGUUUAUUGGUUUUUGCCCUAAGCUCAAGUACAUGCUAGAACAGGGGUUACCUGCCUUCCUUUCUAUUCUAGGAAUUGAAGUUUGUCCUUUGUUGAAGAGAGAGUGGCAAAGUAAAAAAGGAAAAGAAUGGCGCAAGUUGCUCACAUCGAACAGAUAUGGAUUGAUCUCGAAGUGUUUGAAUAAGCUACAAGUCUAGCAAGAUUUCUC